Molecule: ribosomal RNA, 215 nt
Filed under: uncultured fungus
Lineage: Eukaryota; Fungi
Description: partial small subunit ribosomal RNA
Rfam family: Eukaryotic small subunit ribosomal RNA (bases 44-215)
Source: RNAcentral
GCAAUGGCUUUCCGGUCCACCUUUUGGCUGGUACUGGGCAAGCUGUUGCUCACCUUCUGGUAAUUAUGCAUGCCCUUAAUUGGGUGUGUAUAGGAACCAGGACUUUUACCUUGAAAAAAUUAGAGUGUUCAAAGCAGGCCUACGCCUGAAUACAUUAGCAUGGAAUAAUGGAAUAGGACAUGGGUUCUAUUUUGUUGGUUUCUAGGACCUUUGUA